RNAcentral lists this ribosomal RNA (506 nucleotides) under uncultured bacterium. Its description in RNAcentral is "partial 16S ribosomal RNA". It matches the Rfam family "Bacterial small subunit ribosomal RNA", at positions 30 to 523 of the family's 1533-position model. The record is from RNAcentral.
AUUGAACGCUGGCGGCAGGCUUAACACAUGCAAGUCGAACGGUAACAUAAAGAAGCUUGCUUCUUUGAUGACGAGUGGCGGACGGGUGAGUAAUGCUUGGGAAUCUAGCUUAUGGAGGGGGAUAACUAUGGGAAACUGUAGCUAAUACCGCGUAGAAUCGGGAGAUGAAAGUGUGGGACCUUCGGGCCACAUGCCAUAGGAUGAGCCCAAGUGGGAUUAGGUAGUUGGUGAGGUAAAGGCUCACCAAGCCGACGAUCUCUAGCUGGUCUGAGAGGAUGACCAGCCACACUGGGACUGAGACACGGCCCAGACUCCGACGGGAGGCAGCAGUGGGGAAUAUUGCGCAAUGGGGGCAACCCUGACGCAGCCAUGCCGCGUGAAUGAAGAAGGCCUUCGGGUUGUAAAGUUCUUUCGGUAGCGAGGAAGGCAUUUAGUUUAAUAGACUAGGUGAUUGACGUUAACUACAGAAGAAGCACCGGCUAACUCCGUGCCAGCCGCCGCGGUAA